AAAGCAGUCAGAUGUUUCAAUUCAAAUAAGAUGUGGGUUUCCAAAAAUUGAACAGACAGAAAAUGUGACUAAGGACACAUAUAGAGAAUUGGAUGAUUAAUUUUUAUGAAUACUAUGUAGGCCAGUCCACUAAUGAGGUAGUAACUUGCAGAAAAACUGUACAAAAUCCCUUUCCAAAUAGAGUCUCCCCACUCAGACUCUUUUAACAUUUGUAUAUAGAAGUAAAAUUGGACAGUAAGACAAAAAAAGGCCUAACUGACGUAUUGUUUAUGCUUAAUGCAUUGUUGCUCCUUCAAAUAGGAAAAUAGCGGGAAGUUCUAGCUAAAACAUACAGGUUUAGUUCUGCCCAUUUCCAUAGUUGGGCAAGUUCUUUGUUUCCCAACCUCCACCUUGGCUUACUGCAAUGAAGGAAAACAGAAUGUAAAAUAAUUAGAGAGCAGUAGAGCAUGACAUAAUUACAUCACCAAUCUGUACAGUAUUACCAUUGCCCUAAAUUCUCUUUUUACACAAAAUAAGGCUAUUAAAAUUGGAAGUGGGGCUGGAUUUUCUGGUUAAAAAAUCGUACUACAAAUACUGGCACAAUAAAUGGGAGGUGCGUAAGCUCAAAGAAUGUAUGCACCAUUUCCUAAAUAACUUUGUGUAAUAUGCCCUUUUCCUAGGCUAAUCUAGAACAUGAAAUUACAAUGAGAAAAUCGAUGUCAGUAUCCAUUCCAACAUGAACUUCAUGCAUAUAUAACAACCCAUCUAACUACAUUAAUCAACAUGAAUAAGAUCUGACUUGAUAUUCAUGUUGAUUCCAUGCUUCUCCCUUAAUCAAGAAGUGAAUAAUACAAAGUUCCAAAUAACUGCAAUAGAUUCCAAAACUCACAAAAGAUUAGUAAUUCCUGUGCGAAAAAAUAAUGAAGAACAACAUAAGAAUCAGGAUGCCUAGUAAGAAUCAAAGUUGGAAUAAAAGUUCUCCCUCCCUCCCUCCCUCCCUCUCACACAAACAUGCAUCAGACAAGACGUACAAAGAGAUAGAAGAGUGCCUAUGUUUUCUUGGUCCUCCCUCCCUUGGCUACUUCAAACUAUGCUGGAAUUCAUGGUAGGCAUCGGGCUGGGGAGGACAAAUUGGAAAAUGGCGCGCCUGUUCCUCACCAUGAAGCAAGAACAAAAUAAGAAUCAGGAUGCCUAGUAAAAAUCAAAGUUGGAAUAAAAGUUUCCUUCCCUCCCUCCCACUCACACAAACAUGCAUCAGACAAGACGUACAAAGAGAUAGAAGAGUACCUAUGUUUUCUUGGUCCUCCCUCCCUUGGCUGCUUCAAACUGUGCUGGAAUUCAUGGUAGGCAUCGGGCUGGGGAGGACGAAUUGGAAGAUGGCGUGCCUGUUCCUCACCAUGAAGCACCUCGUCCAACCCAUGGUGCCCAGCUGUGGCCACUACUCCCAUGCUCGUCAAAUUUGAGUUACCUUCCACCUUUACACUAUCCCGCAAAGAAAAGAGGCUAGCUAAAUGAUAUCAUACUCUCUGAUGAGAGUGAUAUUAAUUAAACAAAGUACUAAUGUCAGGUUGCUUGAUUAGUUGAAGGAACACUUCAUACAACCACAUAAAUAAUAGAAGGCACGUAUGUGACGACUCCUUUUUGCUGGUUACGAUUAACCAAAUAUACCAAACCAGUUGCAGGAUGAGGAUGUCAGCAAACUUGACACAACUGCAUUCUCUGUACAUCAUAUAUAAGAACGAGGUGAAGCACAAAAGGAGGUUAUUAAUUACCAUUAAAGCCAUUGGAAGAAGAUCACUUUCGAAUCUGACGAACGUGGUCUUCUAUGUCAGAUCUGCACACAUCAAGUUCAAAAAUCCAAAUAUUAUCAAAGUAAAAUAUGAGCGAGGAAGGAAGUGAGGGAGAAAGAGUGGAGGACCUAGUUCGUCGCUGGACUGCGUUGCUCGAGUCGCCUCCAACAGGCACGUGUUGUCCUUCUUAUACUCCAGAUGCACGAGGCAGCCAUUGAACGAGAGAUAGCUCCUACUUCCUCUCACCUUCCCACCGCCUGUUCACCUCGAGCUCCUUGCCCGAUGGAGGGUGGAGGCAGAGGUGGCGCCUCAUGGCACAGAGGAGGCGACGACGCGGUGGCGCAACAAUUCGACCUGCCGGCCGCUGGCAUGUGCGCGAGGCAUCACCCUGCCCCUUCCUACCCGCUAGGAUCGCUCACCCAGCUCCUUCCCCGCUGUUGCUUGCCUUCCUCGCCGGCUUCCUCCAUCCCCUACAUCCCCACACCUCCCUUCCAUGGGAGAUGAGAGGACGAGCGCGCGGGAGGCGGCGAAGCUCCUACGGCGGAGACAGGGGCGACGAGCAGGGAAGGAGUGGCGGCGACAAACGAGGGAGGGAGGAGGAGGAGGGAGGGAGUGGCGGCUGUGGAUUGGGGGUAGGGUUUGUGGUUGUGCCCG
This 2423-nucleotide long non-coding RNA is filed under the name Triticum aestivum (bread wheat). RNAcentral describes it as "long non-coding RNA (TAES_LNC011955)". Lineage: Eukaryota; Viridiplantae; Streptophyta; Magnoliopsida; Poales; Poaceae. The record is from RNAcentral.